UUUGGUGGAAAGAAAAGGCAUAAUUUUAUUGUCCCAAAAGAAAAUGAUUUUAAUAACUCCUUACCGUUCUAGGAAGGGUGCUGGGAAAAUCCAGGUUGAAUUAUAGACCGCAAUUUCGUUGAUCUCUCCCUUGCAGCAGUCCCAAAUCUUUCAACUACUUAGUCGGCCAAACGCGGCUGCAUUUCAACCUUUUACGGGUGUAAUUUUUUAGGCCAAACGUUGCUGAUUUUUUGGCCAUUUGCAACUCAUUUUGGGAGUAAUCCACUGCUACAGUUGAUGCUGAUUUUUUAGCCCAAAAGCUGCUGCGUUUUGGUCAUUUGCACCUCAUUUUUGGAAGUAAUAUACUGCUGCAUUUUGGGGUCAUGGGCUGCUGUACUUUUAGCCAUUCUUGGGUUCCUUUGCUGUUACAUUUCGAGAUCUAUUGCUUUAUUUUUGUGAGAAGUCAUUAACUGUAAACUGGAACAGAGGGUUGAGCUUAUGCUCCUUUCACUUUGUAAUUCCUGAUUUAUUGAUAUAAAGGUCACGCCACCUUAUGGCGAUAAUAUUUUUAAAAAGAAAAUCCAACUUUUAAUAAGUAGAAUUACGCGUAUAGAUAUAUUUUUUGAGUGACUUGAUAAUGUAAUUUUUUGAUAUUAAAAAAAAAAGAAGUAACAAUCAAAAUAAAUACUGUAUUAAAACUUACAGCACAAUACAAUACAACCGUCCAAACAAGCUGUUAGUUUCUGUGUUUAUUUUUUUCAGUAAUGGGUGAUAUAUUUACGUGGUGUAGCUACUCAGUUCCUAUCAAGGUGCAUUCCUUUCGUAUCUAACUCUUGGAUUGUUCGACACCUCACUUAAUAAGACUAUGCCGCAAUCUUUACAUUUGUUUUCUUAUCAGUGCUCAUCAUUAUUCACAUUUUAUGCUAGCAAAAUUGCUACACGUUUUUUGUUAACCUGAAAUAAGUUACUCCUAUUAUAUUUCUAGGUAAUUUGCAAAUCUCGUGGAGCUCAUUCUUUAGGCUGAAUUGUAGAUUUACUUUAAUUUGAGGGCUGAUGAACUUUUUGCUUUAUUGUUUACGGUGUAAAUGGGCAGUGUUAAUUUGAUAAGCAAUAGGUUUCUUUUGACCUUCUUCAACUCCUCAUUUGGGAUGAGGAUAUAUAAGAUGGUAGUACUUAUUAUUAUGCAUAAUGUUCUUGGCAUCUGUUUCUGUUUCAGUUAGAUAAUAAAAUAGAACCUUUUAAACCUGGAAAGUCCCAUGGUACUGAGACUAGAAUCCUGUUGUUACAUGCUUUUUGAAAAGAUAUAUAUUUGAUUCUACUGGUUGUUGGAAAUUUACUUAGAAUGAUUUUAGCUGCAUUAGCUUCACCCAUCCAUGUUACCUUCCCGAUUUGGCCUUAUCCCUUCUACUCUUUCCCGUCCACUUCGAUUUGUUCCUUAUGGUUACAACAACAACAACAAGCCUAGUAGAAUCCCACCAUGUGGGGUCUGGGGAGGAUAGAGUGUACGCAGACCUAACCCCCACCUUGAAAGGUAGGGCGGCUGUUUCCGAAAGACCCUCGGCUCAAGAGAGGAAAACAAGACAAAAGGUCAAAUAGGGCCAAGCAUAUCAAAAACAAUAUGAAAACGAGGAAUAACAAAAGCGAGGAAGUCAUGGUAGAAAGGAGCAUUAACUACCAUAGAUAUAAGAUAAUCAAAGUACAGAGACCCAACAAAUAUAAGCAGAAAUCAAAUGGCAAUAAACGAAUGAGCAAAACUACAACUACUAUGGUGAAAGGAUAAGCAACCUAGCCUUCUAUCCUAAUCUGAGUCUAUCCACAACCUCCUAGCCUUAUGGUUAGUGCUGGGAAUAAGAAAAGAAAAAAGUAUGAUUUGUUGUAGUAGUAGAGGAAGUUAUAAAAAAUACUCGGACAGCCGAAGUAUGUAUUAGAAAGGCAAUACAUUAAAGUUUAAUUAGAAAUACUGACAUUGUUUUGAUAUUUAUUUGAUUCAUGGAGAAUCCGAACAUAACCAAGACUAUACGAAAUGCUCUAACAUUGCUUUUGCACAUCAUGUCGUUGUAUGCUGUACAAUUUCACCUGUUCAUUACUUGUGUGCUCUUUCUUAGUCGAGAAGGUUUCCGGCGAGGAUGCAUGAGGACUGAUAUCCAGUGGUACUUUUGAAUAUUUUACUGUCAAGCCACUUUUGCUCCCUUUCUUCUUCUUCGGUUCAUAUAUUAAAGCUUCUUUUUAUCUGUCUAAACGUAAAUUUACUGUUUCUCUCCUGUAGUAAAUAGAGAUUUUUUUUAAUUUUUUUUUUUGGAGAGGUUGCAUGGCCAUAGUAAGUAAGUUCUUUUUUUUUCUCCAAAAAGAAAAGGCAAGGAAGUUCUUCUUUCGGAACCACCUUCUCAUGAAUUAUGAAAAUUUCUACACUGUGAUCCACAUAAUUGCCAAUUAAAUAUCUGUCGAAGUAUAAAAAAAUUAUGAAGUUCUGUUCUUAAGACUUCAAUCAUGCUUGAUUUUCACGUUGAAACAUCAAAACUAGUCUCCAGAGCAAAGCUUUUCAUUUCUUAGAUGUAUUUGUAGUCCUGUGAAGAUUUUGAAGACAUUUUGGGCAAAACACAAAUGUUAGGUGUUCUAGAUCUUAAACUAAUGUGUCACAAACGGGUAAUGUGAAUAGAAUAUAUUAGGAAACCAAAUGUUCAUUGCCUGAAUAUAAAGUGAACAUUGCUGAAAACUUGUACAACAAAUAUAGAUUGUAGUUUAUCUGGUUUAACAUUGUCUGGAUCCACCAAGACAAGUUGCCAUAUAUCUGUUUAUGGAUUUAUCUGUAUCAGGUAGGUGAUAUACUUCUACCAGAAACAUCAUUCGUCAUCUGUUUGAAGUUUAAAGAUAUCGCUGCUAUUACCUAUGCAGUGAUGGAUCUUCAAGGGCAGAAAAUGCGGCAGAACUCUUGACAGUAGCUUGGAUGGUCUUCCUGUUGGGAGUAAUUGUAACACUUGUAGGAUGUCAUUUUGUUUUGUGGUUGCAGGAACCAAGUUACUGGAGUCAGUAUGCACAGGCUAUAUGGAUAAAUAGUAAGCUUAAACUUUGAUGUACAAACUUUUUAAGAUGUGCUUUGUGCACAUUCUUGCAAUAAGCUGGUUAUCAACCUGACCUAGGAGAAUGCAAUAUUCCAUGGGUGCAUCUGAUUUUGACUUUUGAAGAGGGUCCAUUGCAAUGAACAUUGACUGAAUCUGUAUGUCUUUGGCUUCAAUGUGAUUAUGCUUCGACUGGCUUUAACUUAUAUUUAUUUGUUCUACCUACAUCAGGGUGAAGGUCUGGGACUUCCGAGUAGUGUACAUUGGACUUAUUGGCCAUUUAAGUUCUUUUGUUCGACAAAUAACUUUUUUCUAUUUGGUAAUUGAUGAGUAGAUAUAUAUAUAUUUUUUUUUGUGUCCUUUAUUAUUGUAAUUUUCCUAUUGAGCAGGCUUGCAUGUAUGCUGGAGCUACUAGAAAAACCUUCUUACAUAUUGUGUCAGAAUCUGCUUCAACUCAAGUUACAGCUGAUAGUUGAAACUGCAGCUACCCUUUCACGUUGCUUAACUACCUACAUCCUCAUUGUAAAGCUACCUGACGUGGUCUACCUCGUCCGUUUUUAGCAUUUUCAGUUACCGUGUAGCAUCUAAUAUUUGAAGGUAUGCGUAUGAAGUGUCUAAACUAUUUGAAGCCACUCUCUCUCGUUUUAACAUCUGGUUGUACUAGUACCACCCUCUUUUAAUCUGAUCAUUUAAACUUUUGUUCAAUCUUAGAUUACUGCUUAAAUCAGUAAUAGACAUUGAACUUCAAGUGAAAAUAUCUUUUGAAGUUUCAAAAUCCUAAAGAGAGAUUUGGAGACAAGAAAAAAGUUGGUCAAGCAACCCGUUGGUUUGCACCUGAGAUCUUUCUUCAGAAACGGGAUGAUGGGGCGGGCGUCCAACUUUCAGUACUCUUUGUCAUGUUGCAUACUUAUGCCUUAUCUUUUUCUUAAAAUAUUUGCUUACUCGCUCCAUGGAACUGUUAUCAAAGAUCUUUACAUCUGUACUUUCAGUUGUUGAUCUCUUUUGUUUUUCCAGUACACCUGUAAGAGUUGUUUAACUUGCAGUUAUGCAAUAAUUAAAUUUGGUUAAGUUGUGCUUUAGUACUAUCAAGGCAAAAAAAAAAUAUUUCUUACUUGAAUGAAAAGUUUAUUGUAUUUUCAUCGAUUCUGAUUCUGCUCGUGAACCUUCUUUCUCUAUCAAUAAGAACCAUCAGUUAACGUCUUCACUAAUGUCUAUUAAUUCAAAAGAGUCUCCCCCGGUUAAAAAGAAUGUCUUCCUUUCCUUAAUUAAAUGGAGAAGGUUAAUGGAAAAGGUUGUCGGAUUUAAUCAUGGAAAAGGAAGAGAGGAAAUUAGGACUUAACACAUUACUCAAGAGAGUUUUUUUUUUUUUUUUUUGGCACCUCAAUGUCUUCACAUUCCAAUAGCACACCUUUCUUGUGACCUACUCCCACUAAAAUGUCCUUGGAUACCAUGCCUUACAUUCUGAAGAACACCAAAAGCAGUUCUGCUCCCUCACUUGUUAGGUUACGGUUAUUUGAUUUUGCCGAGUCCUGAUGCCUGGACAAGCCUGUUGAAUCUUAGGGAAAUUUUGAGCAGCAUCUGUGAGGACAUUCUUUCAGGCUUAGGCUAAACAACUUCAGUUUCUAUAUCAUUUCUGCUAAUACUAUUAGGCAGCCUCUGUCUGUGGAUCUUCUUCUGGUUCCUCUGAACAGCCUAAGGCCUAGCACAUGUACAGAAGCCAAUCUAGUGCCGAUUUCACCCUGACACAUAAGUAGAUUAACAGUUCAGAGCACCAAUAAUCUGCAAAAGUUUGAAGAGAUUAGAUAACAUAAUUAUCAUUGUAAAAGAGGAAGUAUCUUAUGAACCUUGAAGCAUAAAUCAUAAAUGAUAAUAAUGUAUGUUAGUGUGACCUCAAAGCUAUUAAAUAUGAUCUUGAAAGAGAGCCAUUUUCUAGAAGGGGAACAGACUGAAGGUUGCAAUUCCCAAUCUUUGGCUGCUACUUCGAUGUGUUCGACUUUUAUGAUUUAACUCUCUCCACUACCACUGCCGUACAUCGGUAACUUCUUGAUAAAGACUGACUCUACAUGUUCGUAUAAAUUCGGAGAAUGAUGCAGCUACCAAACAAGGGAAUUCUCUUGAGCUUUUUGAUAAAAAAUUUAAAAGCAUGUUUAGCUCUAUAAUCCAGCAAAGCUUAUUUAACCAGCCCUAUUUACUGUGCAUGUCUAGGCUAAUGUGCUAUCCUCGAUGCGCAGUUUGGCAAUUGAUGAGUUAAUUUGUUUUACAUUUUUGGCGGACAUAGGAUUGUUAGCAAAUAUCUUUGUUUCUAAUCCAGCUCAGUUUUCUUGUAUCCUAGUCAUGAUUUGUACAUUUUUCUUGAAUGGACUCGGUAGGUUCUUGCCUCAGGACAAAGCUUUUAUAGCUUGUUUUGCCUGUUUGGAAUCCCAUAAAAGGAUAGGUUCUGAAGCCAUGCCUUACCAUAGCGAGUCGUCAAAUGGAAAUGGAUUUUGUUCACUUUUAGUGACAAGACCUUUUUUUUUAGGAUUAAGGUGAAUAGGAACGAACCAUCUUUUGUGCUUGUGUUCUUGAGCUUUAGGAUCUGUAGACCGAUCAGGAUGAGGCAAAUUCUUCGUCCUCUGAGGUUCAACUAGGAGAUGGUAUUUAUAAUUCUGCAAGUUUAUGUAUGUUUAAGAAACAAGCCUCUGAUAGCCUAACUCCGUCUAACUUGGAUUCUGACCCCUGUUAAUCAAGAAACUAUCUAGACAUCCUUGCAACACAUGCUGCUGCUGCCGCCUCGUUAUGUAAGGGGCUUUUUGGUUUCUAAUUAUUGGGGUUCCCAAAUCAUGCUGUUCAAAAAUGAUGUUACCAACUUGAUAGUAUAUGCCUUUGAAUAUCUUCAGAAAGUUCUUUAUUUAGUUUCAAAUAGCUGGGUUCUUUAAAUCAAGUAUGCAUCUAGAAGACUCUGCCGCUGAGCGUUAUAGGAUUUCAUCCUACAGCAUUGUGGAUUAUGGUUAUUAAGAUGCUUAGACGAACUAAAGUUUUUCAUAGUUUUGCCAGCCUUACUACCACAAACUCUCUAAGUCUGAUCGGUUGUGUUUGGUGCAAGAACGCCUGUAGCAUUUCUGAAUGCCGUUCCAAAUCAGAACCCACUCAAGCACUCUAAUGAUGUCUUGCUUGUGUUCUCAGGCUCCAGUCAGUGACUGAUAUAGCAGUUAGGAUCACUUACUCCACAUUAUUCAUCAGGAGCUAUUUCCAGGUAUAUGCUUGUGAAACUUACUGUCUCUUGUGGUAUGGAAGUAUAGGAUUUUGUUGGUGCUUACAGAAUAUAGAAUUUUGAAGGAUAGUAGAACUCACAUUCCCUGGAUUUCAGACCAUGAUUACUUUAUGGAUUUUUCUCAGGUUUCACCCUCAUUCUCCAUUGAUGGGUGCCUGCCUUCUGGUUGGACCAUUCUUCUUCUUUCUGGACUCAUCACUCUAAUCUCGGAAAAUUAUACUUCUGAAUGGGGAAAACUUCUCGGAAUCAUUUUGCAUUCACUUCUCCAUGGGAAUAACCUGUUUCACUGUAGCAACCUUUAUUAUGUAGCUAUCGUCGUGAGAGGAGCUUUAUCAACAAAAUCAUAUGUUUCCUGGGGCAUGUUGACUGAAGAAUGAAGUCACUCUAGCGAGAUCAAUUUACCCCUACCAUUAAUGUUCAGGCUUAUGGAUACUCUAUCUUGGGGUUCGCUUUGACAUGGUACCUCUGUGUGCUGGUAAAAGCGUGAACUUAGCUAAAGCAUAAUUAGCAUAUUCUUUCAUCGGUGAGAUUAAAUUUAACCGCUAAUGCACAUCAUUCAUUGUUUGGUUGCAAUUCAAAGUCAAGUUUUACUGGGUAUGGGAAGUUUCUCAUGUUUUAUUAACUGGUUCAUGUUCCUUCUAUAUUUAGCUUUAAGAUUUGCUCAAUGCUGCAAGAGGUUUGUGACUCAUUUGUUUCCAGGACAAAUUUAAGGGAUGCUGGGAUCCAUCAUAUAAUUAUUCAGAUCGAUGAUUAGGCCCUUCUGCAGUUCAUAAGGAUGUAGAUUUUCAGAUCCACUUUAAUCAAGAAUGACAGUACAUUAUUAAUGACUUAACCCAUCGAAAAGAUAUUUAAGAAGAUUAGAAACCCAUCUAAACGAUACUGAAGAAGAUUAGCCUUUAACUCUUGUUUACUAUCACUUUAUUUCAAACCUCCUAAUGUUGGCUGAUGUUGAGUCUAGUGUCCGCUCUGCAUUUACUGCAUCAAGUAAUACAAAUAAUUUGUAUUAGGGUAUAGUCAUGCUUCACUGACAGGACUUUGUUUUUAACAUUUUUAAAUUCAGUUUUAAUCUUUGUGCAGGUAUAAGUAUCUUAUGCAAUCUAUUCUUCAUUUCCCCUUGCUCUUGCACGUGGCACGUAGAAACCAUUCUCACCUAAAUGAUGUAAGGGGCAAAGAGGUAUCAACUUUCUGGUGCUUCUGCUUUCAUAUAGUUCUUUUGAACAUUUGUUGAGUUGGAGAACUAACAAGGUGGUACUAAGAAUGCUGCAUUACUCCCCGGUGGUGUCGUUAAAUUAUCAUCAUAUCUUUGCUUCGGUUUCUUUUCCUUUGUAUUUUCGAAUCAAGCUGAGCUUCAUGCAGCAUUAUUAAGGUGGAAUCUGAGGUGUAAAUACUAUCCAGUGACGGAAUAAGUUUUAUGUUUCAGACUUACUCUCCAAAAAAAAAAAAAAGUUUUUAUGUUUGAGAUCUGUUUAGAGCCUUUACUAUUGUUUAUUUAUGACCUAUAAACGUUGUGUUCAGUGUCAUAGGAUGCUGCCUAUGUACAUUUAAGGCCACCCUGUAUAGAUUUUCACUGUAUUCAUCAUGUCAAUUCUCUUU
Molecule: long non-coding RNA, 7878 nt
Organism: Lycium barbarum (goji berry)
Lineage: Eukaryota; Viridiplantae; Streptophyta; Magnoliopsida; Solanales; Solanaceae
Exons: 5
Source: RefSeq, a predicted model, not a curated record